RNAcentral lists this ribosomal RNA (265 nucleotides) under uncultured bacterium. RNAcentral describes it as "partial small subunit ribosomal RNA". It matches the Rfam family "Bacterial small subunit ribosomal RNA", at positions 26 to 285 of the family's 1533-position model. The record is from RNAcentral.
AGGACGAACGCUGGCGGCGUGCCUAACACAUGCAAGUCGAACGCGCUCCAUUCGGUAGCAAUACUGAUGAAGAGCGAGUGGCGAACGGGUGAGUAACACGUGAGUAAUCUGCCCCUAGCUCUGGGAUAGCUCCGGGAAACCGGGAUUAAUACCAGAUAUGACCACUUUAGACAUCUGCUGUGGUGGAAAGAAUUUCGGCUAGGGAUGAGCUCGCGGCCUAUCAGCUUGUUGGUGGGGUAAUGGCCUACCAAGGCGACGACGGGUA